UACGUAGGUGGCAAGCGUUGUCCGGAUUUACUGGGCGUAAAGAGCGCGCAGGCGGUCGUUCAAGUCGCGUGUGAAAGCCCCCGGCUCAACCUGGGAAUGGCCGUUGAAACUGGCGAACUGGAGUGUGGCAGAGGGGGGUGGAAUUCCGCGUGUAGCAGUGAAAUGCGUAGAGAUGCGGAGGAACACCGAUGGCGAAGGCAGCCCCCUGGGCUGACACUGACGCUCAGGCACGAAAGCGUGGGGAGCAAACAGG
RNAcentral lists this ribosomal RNA (253 nucleotides) under uncultured bacterium. Its description in RNAcentral is "partial 16S ribosomal RNA". It matches the Rfam family "Bacterial small subunit ribosomal RNA", at positions 524 to 776 of the family's 1533-position model. The record is from RNAcentral.